Molecule: long non-coding RNA, 871 nt
Organism: Myotis davidii
Lineage: Eukaryota; Metazoa; Chordata; Mammalia; Chiroptera; Vespertilionidae
Exons: 2
Source: RefSeq, a predicted model, not a curated record
UUUACUCUCAGGGUCUGGGCGGAGCCCAGCGCGGUGCCGGGGCCCCGGGCGGGCCCGCGCGGAGGACCCACGCUGUCCAAGUGACAAAGGCGCCGCCCGCCUUCCACGCCCCCCGGCCUCUGUGGGACCCCAAAGGCUCUCUGGGAAACUAGGUGCUGCUCUCAUUAAACGUUCGAGCUGAGUCACUGACACAUUGGGAAACAUGGACUGAUGGUGUAACAGCAAACUGUAGAAAGGGCAUUCAACAAUUUCCCUCACAUCCCAUUGGCUCCAGUGAGCCUAUUGGUCACACCUAUCUCCAAAGGAGACCGGAAGGCAUGGGUUCCGAGGGGAAAACGAAUAUGGGGUAACAGUCCAGGGUCCCCAGCACAGUGUAUUAAGAAGGAGGUACCCUGCGGAAGGUAUUUGCGUGGGGCCAAAGAUACCACACUGCUCUCGGGUCUCUGACUCCCCCAGACACUGGCUCUUUUUGCAUCCAGGUCCUCUGGACCAUUCUCUGUGUCCAGGACAAACUCGGUGCUAUGACUGGCCAGGCCUUGGCAAUGCGCACACGCUCAAGGCCAAGAGGACAGCUUCUAUGACUAAAAGAAAGGAAGCUUGCUGGACUAAAUAAGACAAGAAAUUAAGGAUCUGUCCUCCAAGUACUGAAGGUGAGGCUCAGCUUUCUUCUUCACCAAAAUCAAAGAAGCCUAUGGAAUGUCAAUGGGCUUACAUGCUGUGUUAGCAAAUGUUCAUGAUUUGUUUAUUUUGUACAUGUAAUAAGACUGUUGGCUGGUGUGGUCAGUUUUAAACAGCACAGACAUUGAAACCAGAAGCAUCUGGAUUUAAAAGCAGUUCUACCACUUGUGAAUAAAAAUAAUGUCAUCAUUAC